RNAcentral lists this ribosomal RNA (342 nucleotides) under Escherichia coli. RNAcentral's name for it is "partial 23S ribosomal RNA". It matches the Rfam family "Bacterial large subunit ribosomal RNA", at positions 2299 to 2640 of the family's 2925-position model. RNAcentral also lists the same sequence under 1 other name. Lineage: Bacteria; Pseudomonadati; Pseudomonadota; Gammaproteobacteria; Enterobacterales; Enterobacteriaceae. The record is from RNAcentral.
AACGGAGGAGCACGAAGGUUGGCUAAUCCUGGUCGGACAUCAGGAGGUUAGUGCAAUGGCAUAAGCCAGCUUGACUGCGAGCGUGACGGCGCGAGCAGGUGCGAAAGCAGGUCAUAGUGAUCCGGUGGUUCUGAAUGGAAGGGCCAUCGCUCAACGGAUAAAAGGUACUCCGGGGAUAACAGGCUGAUACCGCCCAAGAGUUCAUAUCGACGGCGGUGUUUGGCACCUCGAUGUCGGCUCAUCACAUCCUGGGGCUGAAGUAGGUCCCAAGGGUAUGGCUGUUCGCCAUUUAAAGUGGUACGCGAGCUGGGUUUAGAACGUCGUGAGACAGUUCGGUCCCUA